This 64-nucleotide non-coding RNA is filed under the name Bacillus methanolicus MGA3. The record is from RNAcentral. Lineage: Bacteria; Bacillati; Bacillota; Bacilli; Caryophanales; Bacillaceae.
GACCAAAAUGUUCCGACUCCAUUAGACCAUGCAGCAAGCAUAAAGUUUUGAACGAAGCAGGCAG